AUUGAACGCUGGCGGCAGGCCUAACACAUGCAAGUCGAGCGGAUGAAGGGAGCUUGCUCCUGGAUUCAGCGGCGGACGGGUGAGUAAUGCCUAGGAAUCUGCCUGGUAGUGGGGGAUAACGUCCGGAAACGGGCGCUAAUACCGCAUACGUCCUGAGGGAGAAAGUGGGGGAUCUUCGGACCUCACGCUAUCAGAUGAGCCUAGGUCGGAUUAGCUAGUUGGUGGGGUAAAGGCCUACCAAGGCGACGAUCCGUAACUGGUCUGAGAGGAUGAUCAGUCACACUGGAACUGAGACACGGUCCAGACUCCUACGGGAGGCAGCAGUGGGGAAUAUUGGACAAUGGGCGAAAGCCUGAUCCAGCCAUGCCGCGUGUGUGAGGAAGGUCCUCGGAUUGUAAAGCACUUUAAGUUGGGAGGAAGGGCAGUAAGUUAAUACCUGGCUGUUUUGACGUUACCAACAGAAUAAGCACCGGCUAACUUCGU
Molecule: ribosomal RNA, 483 nt
Filed under: uncultured bacterium
Lineage: Bacteria
Description: partial 16S ribosomal RNA
Rfam family: Bacterial small subunit ribosomal RNA
Source: RNAcentral